CGAGUCAGCCAGACAGUCGCUCCCGUUUCUUUUAACAGGGGAGGAAAGUCCGGGCUCCCUUGGGUAAAGUGCCAGGUAACGCCUGGGAGGCGCGAGCCUACGGAAAGUGCCACAGAAAAUAAACCGCCCCUGGCCAUUGGCUAGCGGUAAGGGUGAAACGGUGCGGUAAGAGCGCACCGCGUAACGGGUAACCGUUGCGGCAAGGUAAACCCCACUUGGAGCAAGACCAAAUAGGAACUCAUGGUUGCGUCCUUGAUGCGACUAAAAGUGCGACCCGCACUGAGUUCGGGUAGGUCGCAAGAGGUGUCUGGUGACAGGCAUCCCAGAUAAAUGGCUGUCCACGACAGAACCCGGCUUAUCGGCUGACUCAACUG
Molecule: RNase P RNA, 374 nt
Filed under: Gammaproteobacteria bacterium RIFCSPHIGHO2_12_FULL_45_12
Lineage: Bacteria; Pseudomonadati; Pseudomonadota; Gammaproteobacteria
Description: RNase P RNA component class A
Rfam family: Bacterial RNase P class A
About the family: Ribonuclease P (RNase P) is a ubiquitous endoribonuclease, found in archaea, bacteria and eukarya as well as chloroplasts and mitochondria.
Source: RNAcentral